Molecule: RNA transcript, 3366 nt
Organism: Ostrinia furnacalis (Asian corn borer)
Lineage: Eukaryota; Metazoa; Arthropoda; Insecta; Lepidoptera; Crambidae
Gene: rump
Gene name: heterogeneous nuclear ribonucleoprotein rumpelstiltskin
Exons: 12
Source: RefSeq, a predicted model, not a curated record
CAAAUUCGCCAUUUUGUUGAAGUGCAAUCAAUUUGUUGUUGCUUCGCCUUCGUGCGACUUUUGUAAUUCAAAGGAUUUAGGAUUUAGUAUUACCAAACACUUCUAAAACAGAUCAAGAUGGAAAAUCAACAAAGGGAAAAAGACCGUGACCGAUCAAGGCGUGGAGACCGACCAUCAAGAUUCUCAGAUGCUACACGCGACCGGUCUAAUGAUCGAGAUCGUCCGGAAGGAAAACGCUUGUUUGUUUCAAACAUACCCUAUGAGUUUCGUUGGACGGAGUUGAAAGACUUAUUCAAGGAAAAGGUGGGAGAUGUAGCUUAUGUGGAGUUAUUCAAUGAUGAGAAUGGAAAACCAAGAGGAUGUGGGGUAGUUGAGUUCACAAACUCUGAAGCAAUGAAGAAAGCUCUGUUUGUCAUGCACAGAUAUGAACUGAAUGGGAGGAAACUAGUUUUGAAAGAAGAAACUGGCAAUGAGCGCAACAGGCUUAACUCGUCAAGGUCCACAGGUGGUGGUGGUGGAAGAAAUAAUAGAGAUGACAAAGAUGGAUGGAAUAUGAACAAGCCAAGGGAACCAGAGAAUUUCAACACAUAUGGACUUAGUCUUCAGUUUUUGGACUCCAUCAAUGUACAACCACCACUUGUAAAGAAAGUUUUUGUAGCUAAUUUGGACUACAAAGCAGACAGAGCUAAAAUCAAGGAAAUCUAUAAAAUGGCUGGUAAAGUAAGGAAUAUUGACUUGGCGGUUGACAAAGAUGGUAAUAGCAGGGGAUUUGCAGUUAUUGAAUAUGACCAUCCAGUGGAGGCAGUUCAGGCCAUAUCUAUGUUUGACAAGCAAAUGCUGUAUGAUAGGAGGAUGACAGUCCGCAUGGACAGGGGACUAUCUGAUAAGACCGAGUUCAGGCUACCUGAAGGUCUGAAAGGCAUUGGUCUUGGUUUGGGACCUAAUGGAGAACCUCUGAGAGACGUUGCUAGAAACCUGCAACAGACGUCAACAACUAAUAACUUGAGUUUGGCCAACACUAAUGCACCGUUGAGCACAGGAGUGUUGGGUGCUGUGCCGACAGCAGCUAGUGUCGCUUUGAAUGGCUUGGGCUCUGGUCUGUCCACCAACUCAUUGAAUACCGGUUCUGCAUUGGGUGGAAACCUAGGACUCCAGGCUUUAGGACUGACUGGCUUAGGAGCUCUUCAAAAUCAGUUGCUGCAGCAGGGACUGACAGCAAACGACUUGGCAACAGUUCUUACCGCGCAAGCCGCAAAUGUGAACACCAAUGCUCUGACUCUGGCAAACACUGACCUUGGUUCAAGCGUAAUGAACAGCAUGAACAACAUGAACAACAUGAAUAACAUGAGUAACUCUGGCUUGACUACCAGUGUGCUGGGCAACAAUACAAGCAUGAACAGUGGACCUCUUUCUGGUUCAAACAGGCCACUGGGAGUAUCUGUAACAAACCAAGGUUACAAUCGCGAUUCAGGUGUCCAGCAAAGGGACAAACCCUCUGAUAUGGUUAUCAUAACCAAUCUUCCACCUACAGUAACAUGGCAGCUGAUCCGUGAGAAAUUCAGCGAGUGUGGAGACGUCAAGUUUGCAGAAAUGACGGCUCCAGAUACCGCCAUCGUUCGCUUCCAUAAAGAGUGGGACGCCGACAGAGCUAUCAGUAUCCUUUAAAAUUAUUAUUAUAAAACAACACAAGUGCAAUUCAUUUGCAAAUUCAUGAUAAGGCUGGCAUAAACUGAUUAUAGAGUCCAAACCAGGGCUCGAAUGUAGUUACGUAGACACUUAUUUCCUUCACGAAAGUUUUUUUUUCUUCUGAAAAAGAUAAACUUUUUCGACAAUUUUACCUAAGUCUAAUGUCCUUCUAGAAAGAAAGUUACCUAAGAGAUGUAAUAUCUGAUCUUUUCCUUAGACAGAAAUGGUUUUAAUGCCAAAUUGUGUUACAAUAAUGGUUUUCUUACACCAAACUAACAGAAAUGUUCGACAGGACCCGUAUCGACGGCAGAACCAUUGAUGUUCGCUACUUCUAAAACAUCAGUGGAACCUUGAGGUUAGUAGAUUUCUGUUACUUUUUGACAUUGGAUUCGUAGAUCGUCUUUGACUUUCUUGCAGUAGGAAAAUUCUAUGGCCAUUGUCUUGCAUUCAAAAACGUUAUAUUGCCAUUAAAAGUAAUGAAUUGAAUUUCUGUUAUUCAGUUGGUCAUGUCCCUGUUUGGCACCAUAAAAUAAAAACUUUCGGCGAUAAGUCUUCCCAUUGUAUUUCCUUUUUUGUAUUAAAUUGUGUUAUCAACGGAACCAAUUCGAUUACAUGAGAUGAUAGGUGUCCAAAAAUCUGGUGUCAUAAAAUAAAAUAGUGAAAUUGUUAUGUUUUGUGUUUUCAGGAAUAUGAGGUUUGAAGUCGGUCUGUAGUGGGCUCUGUCUAAAAACUCUGCUGCCUGGAUUUCACCUUCGUUUUUAAGUCUUUCUCGAUGUAACGUAUACUCUACAAUUCCUACAUUAUUCUUCUGGUUGAUUUCAAUCUAUCGACAUUUGUAUCUUAGGAUAAAGUAGAAUAAGUGUCUUAAUGUUUCUGUACAUCCAAUGAUUAAGAUUAAUAAAUUCCUUGAACUAAGUUUGAGACGUUCUAACUUAAAUUGAAGUUGUAGUUGUUAUUAUGUUACCUAAAGGAGAUGCAAAGAAUUUGGGAAAGCUAUCCGAAUAGUACGCCAAGUCGACUUAUGUGUACAUUUUCGGUAUCAAUUUUAUCACACCAUAUAGCAUUUUUAGGUAGUGUAACCAGUAGCUGUAUCGGUUUAGGUAAUUUUUUUGUAUCAGAAUAGGCUUCCUGAUUAUGCGCAGUCGGGUAAAAUAUGUUUUGCGUUUCAACACGUCACAGUAGGUAAUCGAAGAACAUCCUUAUUUGUGUUGUUAUUAUUAAUAACAUGCGAGUUCAAAUUAUUAUCUAACAUCGCCUCAUACAGAGAUUCGUAUGGAGGAAAGCCAUCGAUGUCAUUUGUUAUAUUUAUUGCAAUCGGCUUCAACGAAAUCGUAUUAUUUUGUUAUUAUUGGCUGCGACUAAAGUUUGUUGGAGAGUCACAGAUUGAUUAAAACGUGGGAAUGCAGUCACAACUAAAUCUGAAUUGUGUUGGUUGUUCUCCGAUUUUAGAUCACCGAUAAGCGAGGCUUCGGAGUAAAUGUCAGUUAUUGCACAGCAUCUAAGCCAGUUGCGUCCAUCCAACAAAUUAUACGUCGAGUUCUGCUUGCAAAAAUCAUUAGUCAGAAUGAAUACAGUUGCUGGUAACGAGGCGUAGUCUGUAGUUGCAAGUCACAGAGAAGAUGAGAGCGUUUAUUCCUUUUAUCUGUGGUCGAUUGAAACCGAUUUUAGCGAUAUCUGCAC